GAUGAAGAACGUAGCGAAAUGCGAUAAGUAAUGCGAAUUGCAGAAUUCAGUGAAUCAUCGAAUCUUUGAACGCACAUUGCGCCCGCUAGUAUUCUGGCGGGCAUGCCUGUCUGAGCGUCAUUUCAACCCUCGCCCCCGGCUUUUGCUGGGAGCGGUGUUGGGGAUCGGCCGCCCGUCACUGGGAGGCCGGCCCCGAAAUAGAGUGGCGACCACGCCGUGUGCUCCUCUGCGUAGUAGUAAAUCACCUCGCAGGCGGACAGCGGUGCGGCCUGCCGUAAAACCCCCAACUCUUUCUGGUUGACCUCAGAUCAGGUAGGAAUACCCGCUGAACUUAAGCAUAUCAAAGCGGAGGA
RNAcentral lists this unclassified non-coding RNA (353 nucleotides) under soil metagenome. RNAcentral's name for it is "partial contains 5.8S ribosomal RNA, internal transcribed spacer 2, and large subunit ribosomal RNA". The stretch from base 1 to 120 matches the Rfam family "5.8S ribosomal RNA", at positions 35 to 154 of the family's 154-position model. The record is from RNAcentral.